CCCCUUCUUCAAAAAAUAUUGAAGGGACGAAGUUUUCCUGAUGUUAGCGGCGGACGGGUGAGUAACACGUGGGUAACCUUGCCUUGUAAGACUGGGAUAACUUCCGGGAAACCGGGGCUUAAUACCUGGAUGGUUGUUUGAACCGCAUGGUUUCAAACAUAAAAGGUGGCUUUCGGCCUACCAUUUACAAGAUGGCCCCGCGGCGCUAUUAGGUAGGUUGGGAGGAAACGGCUUCCCAAGGCGAUUAUGCGUACCCGACCUGAGAGGGGAUACCCCCUGGACUUGAGACACGGCCCAACUUUUUAGGGGAGGAGCAGUUGGGAAUUUUCCGAAAUGGAACAAAGCUUGACGGACCAACGCCGGAGAGUGAUGAAGGUUUG
RNAcentral lists this ribosomal RNA (380 nucleotides) under uncultured bacterium. RNAcentral describes it as "bacterial SSU rRNA". It matches the Rfam family "Bacterial small subunit ribosomal RNA", at positions 67 to 418 of the family's 1533-position model. The record is from RNAcentral.